Molecule: ribosomal RNA, 32 nt
Filed under: Lepidotrigla microptera
Lineage: Eukaryota; Metazoa; Chordata; Actinopteri; Perciformes; Triglidae
Description: partial 5.8S rRNA
Source: RNAcentral
ACAACUCUUAGCGGUGGAUCACUCGGCUCGUG